UACCUGAGGGGUCUCGCUCUUAGUACGAGAGGACCGGAGUGACUGGACCGACGGUGUACCUGUUGUCGCGCCAGCGGCAGCGCAGGGUAGCCAUGUCCAGAAAGGAUAAGCGCUGAAAGCAUCUCAAGCGCGAAACCUGCCCCAAGAUGAGGUAUCCCAUGGCACAAGCCAGUAAGGACCCAGGAAGAUUACCUGGUUGAUAGGCGCCACGUGUACGCACGGCGACGUGCUCAGCGGAGGCGUACUAAUCGUCCGAGGGCUUACCACU
This 268-nucleotide ribosomal RNA is filed under the name Chlorobiota bacterium. RNAcentral describes it as "partial 23S ribosomal RNA". It matches the Rfam family "Bacterial large subunit ribosomal RNA", at positions 2659 to 2925 of the family's 2925-position model. Lineage: Bacteria; Pseudomonadati; Chlorobiota. The record is from RNAcentral.